AUUGAACGCUGGCGGAAUGCUUUACACAUGCAAGUCGAACGGCAGCACGGGUGCUUGCACCUGGUGGCGAGUGGCGAACGGGUGAGUAAUACAUCGGAACGUACCCAGUUAUGGGGGAUAACUAACCGAAAGGUUAGCUAAUACCGCAUACGCCCUGAGGGGGAAAGCGGGGGGCCGUAAGGCCUCGCGUAAUUGGAGCGGCCGAUGUCUGAUUAGCUAGUUGGUGAGGUAAAGGCUCACCAAGGCGACGAUCAGUAGCAGGUCUGAGAGGAUGAUCUGCCACACUGGAACUGAGACACGGUCCAGACUCCUACGGGAGGCAGCAGUGGGGAAUUUUGGACAAUGGGGGAAACCCUGAUCCAGCCAUUCCGCGUGAGUGAAGAAGGCCUUCGGGUUGUAAAGCUCUUUCGGCAGGGAAGAAACGGUCUAGGUUAAUACCUUGGGCUAAUGACGGUACCUGAAGAAGAAGCACCGGCUAACUACGUGCCAGCCGCCGCCGUAA
Molecule: ribosomal RNA, 502 nt
Filed under: uncultured bacterium
Lineage: Bacteria
Description: partial 16S ribosomal RNA
Rfam family: Bacterial small subunit ribosomal RNA
Source: RNAcentral